This is a long non-coding RNA of Monomorium pharaonis (pharaoh ant), 460 nucleotides long. RefSeq lists it as uncharacterized. NCBI's taxonomy places the organism in Eukaryota, Metazoa, Arthropoda, Insecta, Hymenoptera, Formicidae. The transcript has 2 exons. The record is from RefSeq and is a predicted model, not a curated record.
GGGAUUACUAGCUGGAGCAUCGUGACCUCCGAGUGCAUAAAGACAACCAUUUACCACUCCGACGCCUACACCGCCUCGUCUCUUCGACAUAGCCACACCAACUGUAGAUCUUUGUAUGGACAUAGGGCAUAUUGAACUCCACUGGCGCGUUGCCGGAUCCCACCUCUCUACUGCAUCGAGAAAACUCCAACCAUCGUGACCACCAACGGCAUAUAAAGGUCCACCUAGGACUGCUACUCCUAAAGAAAAUUAUAAAAUAUUUACCAAAGAUUUUUAUAGUAUUUACCAAUUUUUAUUAUAAAUAAAAGUCGAUUGUUUUAAUUUCUUGGAAAACUUAUUUAUUUCGAAUAAACAUGUGUCUAUCUAUCUUUUUUAAUAAAUAAAUACAGAUAAUAGGUAUCUGUCGGUUAAAGCUUUCCAAUAAAUUGCAGCAAUCGCUUCUAAAUGAAAUGAAAUGAAA